GACUUAAAAAUAUAAUCAUCAGAUGUUCAUCCAAACACCUUCAUCAGUUGUUUAGUGUGCACAGGAAGUAACUCUGGCCUUAAUACACAAGGCAGUCACAUGAGCUCAUGGGAUGAAGUCACAUGACUGCUAAAAUGUAGUCCAUUUGUGUUUGCCAGAGAAGAUGGUAUCCCAGCAGCUUCAGAUGUUGCCCCUCCCCCUGCUCAAGAGGUGGCGCAGGAUGGUAUGUCUGUAAAGCGCCUGGGAAUGGUUUUCAGAACCAUGUUGUAGGCUGAAGACAAAUGAUGUCUCAGCCUACCUCCCCUAUUUAAAGAGGGUCGCUCCACUUUAACAAAUAUGGCCUCCUUGACGCCUCUUUCAAACCACCUAUCCUCUCUGUCCAGGAUAUAGACAGUCAGUUGACUUCAUGCCAU
Molecule: long non-coding RNA, 413 nt
Organism: Sander lucioperca (pikeperch)
Lineage: Eukaryota; Metazoa; Chordata; Actinopteri; Perciformes; Percidae
Exons: 4
Source: RefSeq, a predicted model, not a curated record